RNA transcript from Triticum aestivum (bread wheat), 5400 nucleotides. RefSeq lists it as uncharacterized. The record is from RefSeq and is a predicted model, not a curated record. NCBI's taxonomy places the organism in Eukaryota, Viridiplantae, Streptophyta, Magnoliopsida, Poales, Poaceae. The transcript has 24 exons.
CAUCAACAUACGAUUGGAAAAAAAAUACUACUCUACGAUUGAACUACAGAAGGAUAUACUCCUAUAUAGAGAGUAUUUGAAAAUGGUGGAAAAGUCGUUGAACGGACAGAGCAGCAAACUCUAAUUGCGGCAGUGAACUGUAGAGAGAAGGAGAGAGGGGCUGUAGGAACUAGGAAAGCUCGCCCGGUCGCCCGCACGCGCGGCGCUCGGCGCACCGCCCCGCACCUUCGUGAGACGUCACGACGCACGCACGCACGCGGCGGGACCGCGCUUUCUUCCUCGCACCCCCUCGUUCUUCUCCGCCUCCGCCCGCCUAUACAUACCACCAUCUUCCUCUCCUCUCCUCUCUCCCCCUAUCGUUCCACCAUUAACCGCCACUACCACUGCCUCUCUUCCUGAAUCUUGAUCCCACUCCCAUGCCUGCGACUCUACGAGUUCGCUGAGAACUAACUACCACCAGACUCCAUGCGGCAUCGGCAGCAAGGGGAGGACAACAAGGAGCUCUUCGUGCAGUGGAGGCCCUGCGACAAGAAGAGGUCCUAGUCGCCGGCGACCCGCGCCCGCAGGAACAGAUCUGUCUAUCGGGUAAUUCUUUUAAUCGGUGGGUGUUGGCUGAAUGGUUGAUUCGAGCGCGGGAGGGAAGAUGAGCGCGCACGGCGGCGGCGGCGGGAGGACGCGGGUGGGGAGGUACGAGCUGGGGAGGACGCUCGGGGAAGGGACGUUCGCCAAGGUCAAGUUCGCCAGGAACGUCGAGACCGGCGAGAAUGUCGCCAUCAAGAUCCUCGACAAGGACAAGGUCCUCAAGCACAAGAUGAUCGCGCAGAUAAAGCGCGAGAUCUCCACCAUGAAGCUCAUCAGGCACCCCAACGUCAUCCGCAUGUACGAGGUGAUGGCCAGCAGGACAAAGAUAUACAUAGUCAUGGAGCUUGUCACAGGUGGCGAACUUUUCGACAAAAUCGCUUCGCGUGGGAGGCUCAAAGAGGACGACGCCAGGAAAUAUUUCCAGCAGCUCAUCAACGCUGUCGACUACUGUCAUAGCAGAGGCGUCUAUCACCGUGAUCUCAAGCCUGAAAAUCUUCUGCUUGAUGCUAACGGUACUCUCAAGGUGUCUGAUUUUGGACUCAGCGCCCUAUCGCAGCAAGUCAGAGAGGAUGGGCUGUUGCAUACGACUUGUGGAACUCCCAAUUAUGUUGCUCCCGAGGUUAUAAACAACAAAGGUUAUGAUGGAGCCAAGGCUGAUCUGUGGUCAUGUGGGGUGAUUCUCUUUGUCCUCAUGGCAGGCUACCUUCCGUUCGAAGAUUCAAAUCUCAUGGCGCUUUACAAGAAGAUAUACAAAGCAGACUUCAGUUGCCCAUCUUGGUUCUCGACGAGCGCGAAGAAGCUCAUCAAGAAGAUACUAGAUCCUAAUCCUAACACUAGAAUAACUAUUGCUGAGGUUAUUAACAAUGAGUGGUUCAAGAAAGGAUAUCAGCCUCCUAGGUUUGAGACAGCAGAAGUUAAUCUGGAUGACAUUAACUCUAUUUUCAACGAAUCUGGGGACCCAGCACAGCUUGUUGUCGAGAGACGUGAAGAAAGACCGGCAGUGAUGAAUGCAUUCGAGUUGAUCUCUACCUCCCAGGGCCUCAAUCUUGGCACACUUUUUGAGAAGCAAACGGAUUCUGUUAAACGUGAAACACGGUUUGCGUCGAGGCUUCCAGCAAACGAAAUAUUGUCGAAAAUUGAAGCAGCAGCAGGACCCAUGGGCUUCAACGUACAGAAGCGCAACUACAAGCUGAAGUUGCAAGGAGAGAAUCCUGGAAGGAAAGGUCAGCUGGCAAUUGCAACAGAGGUUUUUGAAGUGACACCCUCACUCUACAUGGUGGAGCUCCGCAAAUCGAAUGGCGACACCCUCGAAUUCCACAAGUUUUACCAUAGUAUCUCGAAUGGCCUGAAGGACGUCAUGUGGAAGCCAGAGGGUAGCAUAGCCGAAGGCGAUGAGACCCGCCACCGGAGGCGACAUACGUAUCAUGCUCUACAAAACAUGCAUUUGGUGCACACUCCCUUCCAUAAAUGGCAAUUCUCGAGCAUUGGCCAGGAGUGGCUUUUUAAGGGAACACUCCCAGAUAGCGGCAUUCUCUUGGGGUGUGUUCGGUUUCUGUCACCGACUGGAACGGCACGGAAAUAAAAUUAACGGUAGAAAGUGAAAAGGUAAGAAGUGGAGGCCCUAAGUGUUGGAGUUUUGGAGACUUCUCUUGUGAGGUUUUUGCUGCAACUGAUUUCUCCAUAGUAUGUGAUUUGCCCCUUAACAAGAAAAGUUCUGCUGGUGCUUCAUCUCCUCCCGCGCAAACAAAUGUAGCUACCAUAGAUUGGUUAGGCAGCGAGCAGUUAUCUAAAGUUGGGUCAUCAUCCCAUGUUGCUUCACAUGCUGCUCAGCCUUCUCUUAGUACUAAUGCUGUUGGAGCUGCUAUGGAUUUUUCGCAACCAUCAUGUAGACCAUGGGAACGAGGAGAUUUACUUCAUCGACUGGCCACAUUUAAGCCUUCAACAUGGGCUUCUAAACCAAAGGCUGCUAGUUCACUGGCCUGUGCUCAAAGGGGCUGGGUGAACAUUGGUGUGGACAAAAUUGAAUGCGACUCAUGUGGCGCACAUCUGAUAUUUACUGCAUUGACAUCCUGGUCCCCUGCUGAAGUUGCAAAUGCUGGAGAAGCCUUUGCUGAACAGCUUGAUGCAUCGCACCAGAAUGAUUGUCCCUGGAGAGGGAAUAGCUGUGCUGAUAGCUUGGUACAGCUCCACUUCACACCAUCAGCUCUUCUUGGUGGUUUUAAAGAUCGCUGUGAGGGGCUGUUGCAGUUUAUAUCUCUCCCUGUUAUUGCCUCGUCUGCAAUAGAGAGUAUGAAACUCACUAGGAGUCAGCAGAUUGAACAUGUCUUAUCCCAAUCAAUCGCAAUUCUGUGUGGGGAGCUGGGUUACAAAACAGAUGGUACAACAGGAAUUGAUGUCAAUCAUCAAGACGAAACCUGCAGUUACUCUCAAGCGCAGAAGCUUAUUAGCCUGUGUGGAUGGGAACCUAGAUGGCUUCCGAACGUACAAGACUGGGAAGAAAAUUCAACCCACUCUGCAAAAAAUGCAGCCUCAGCUGAACCAGAUAAAUGCUCCCGCUUUCCUGAGCCUCAGCAAAAUUCAUGCUCUACAUCAGUCAAGAAAGAUAAGGGGAAAGGCAAACUACGUGUAAAAGAUUCUGGAUGCAGCAUGAGAUCACCUUUGCUGGAUUGCAGCUUAUGUGGAGCUACAGUGAGAAUCUGGGAUUUCAGAUCUGUUCCACGUCCUUCUCAUCUUAAUCUCGGCAACAUUGAUGCACCUGAUGCAGGGACGAAACCUAUGUUGGCACGUGGAAUUAGUGCUACGAGUGGGAUCAAUGGAUGGGUUGCUGAAGCAACAGACAGAAAUAAUGCUGAAGGACGUGAUGAGGCAUGCACUGUUGAGGGAAAAUCAUUGUCAAAUGCUCAGGUUGACCUAAAUCUGACAAUGGCAGGAGGAUUGCCACCAACCCAUUCUGGGAUGCUCUCAAUGCCUGAAAAUUUCAAGAAAGAGGGGAUGGGAAUAGAUCUGAUGAUUGGUCAGCCUACCGGGAGUGAGAUUGGUGGCUAUGCAGCCUCAUUUGAAUCUCGUGGCCCCAGUUCGAGGAAGCGUAAUCUGGAGGAAGGUGGGAGUACAGCUGAUAAGCCAAUAAACAGGCUUCAGCCUGCUGACAGUAUAGAAGGAACUGUAAUUGACCGCGACGGUGAUGAAGUUGAUGAUGCUGUACAAAACUCAGAUAUUCGGAACAAAAGGCCUCGUGGCUUUAAUCUUUUUGAUGACAAUCGUCCAUCUUCUUCCGGAGCUGGUCCAAGCAGAAAUUUAAGUCUUGAGCUGGAUAUAGAUGUCAACAGAUUUGAGCCAUCUAAAGAGGGUCCAUCUACCCUUCGCAACUCGUCUGCUAGAGACUCCAUGAGGGCAUCUUCUGUUAUUGCAAUGAAUAUUAUUCACGGUGCGGAGGAAAAUUCAAUGGAGAGUGUUGAAUACCAUCCAUGUGAUGGUGAUGAUGUUGAGAAGCCUUCAAGUGCACUCAGGAGUGGUGGAAUGAGUGACACAUUGGAUCUCAAUUAUAGCAACCAAGCACAGGAAAGCAAUUUUGUACAGCCUGCUGCUGACAGUAAUGCAAGAGAUAUAGGAGGGAGUAGUAUGAAUGGAGGGGAAGAAGUCCUCAAUGCAGAAACAGCUCCUGCUUUUGCUAGGGAUCAACUUAGCGUUGGAGUUAGCGGAGGCAGUGUUGGAAUGGGUGCUAGUCAUGAAGCUGAAAUUCAUGGAGUUGAGGUUUCUGAACAUAAAACUGAGAGUGUUGUCGGAGAUGUGGAACCAGUUCCCGAGCUUACUGAAACCAUGGGGCAUACUGGUGAGUCAGCUCCUGGACCUGGAGUGAUGGAUGAGUUUGUCCCUGAAGAUGCUGGUCGAGAAGAGCCUCAGGCUGAUAGCCACGAUAUGGCAUCUCGGUUAGUGGGUCGAGUUGACAGUGGUUCAACUAAAGCUGAUUCGGUCGAGAGUGGAGAGAAGAUGAGCCAUGCCAGAGGCCAGGAGAGUAACAUACAACAUUCCCUUUCUUGCAAUGCAAGAGUUUAUUCUGGGAUUGAUUUAUCUAAAGAUGAAGUGACUCAGACUGGUAAAAUGCUGACUAAGGACGAGUAUGACCCAGGAAAUGAUCUUGGAGCAACGGAUGGAGAGAAUGAUUAUGAAACGGGUCUUCCAGAAUUUGAUCCAAUUAAGCAUCACAACAACUAUUGUCCAUGGGUAAAUGGAUAUGUUGCCAUUGCUUGCACUAUCAAUACUGGUUCCAGCACAAAUAGUGCAGCAUUUUGUGGCUGGCAGCUUACAGUAGAUGCACUUGAGACUGUCCAGUCUCUUGGCCAGAACCAAUAUCAAGCCAUGAGGUCUGAUUCUGCGGCGUCACUGUAUAAGGAUGACCAUGCGGCACCUAGCCACAAGCUGCUGAAAAGGCCAAAACACAGCAAGUGCUAACUGAAGCGCCGUUGGUAGUGCACAUUCGCUAAACUUGGAUACAGCUCAAAAAUAGUUUGGCUGAUGCAAAUCUGAAGAGAUCUAGUUUGCUAUUUGCAAGACUAGGCUUGGAGCUCGACAUAGCAGAAGAGCUCACAAGGCGCAAGCAGGCGGCAGAAGAGGAAUAAGUUAAGCAUUGUAGAUUAUAGAUGGACUUGUUGCCAAGCUGUUGUUUCUUCUUUUAUUGUGUUUAUAUAUAUAAUAUUGCUAUUCUGGAAGAUUUGGUGAGUCUAAAAUUCUGGAUCUAUCGUCUAUAAGACUAAGAUUUGUGCCAGUGAACAACAUUUGGCUGAGUUAACCGUAAUUUAAAUUGUUGUCUGUUGUCAUUUA